AGAGUUUGAUCAUGGCUCAGGAUGAACGCUAGCGGGAGGCUUAAUACAUGCAAGUCGAGCGAGAAAUACCCUUCGGGGUGUGGGCAGCGGCGCACGGGUGAGUAACGCGUACACAAUCUACCAUAUACAGGAGGAUAGCCCCGGGAAACUGGGAUUAAUACUCCAUAGUCCGUAUUCAUGGCAUCAUGAUAGCGGUAAAGCUCCGCGGUAUAUGAUGAGUGUGCGUACUAUUAGGUAGUUGGUGGGGUAACGGCUCACCAAGCCGAUGAUAGUUAGGGGGCGUGAGAGCGUGAUCCCCCACACGGGUACUGAGACACGGACCCGACUCCUACGGGAGGCAGCAGUAAGGAAUAUUGGACAAUGGGCGCAAGCCUGAUCCAGCCAUCCCGCGUGCAGGAUGACGGCGCUACGCGUUGUAAACUGCUUUUGUGUAAGAUGAAACACCGAUAUUUAUAUUGGCUUGACGUUAUUACAAGAAUAAGCACCGGCUAACUCCGUGCCAGCAGCCGCGGUAAUACGGAGGGUGCAAGCGUUAUCCGGAAUCACUGGGUUUAAAGGGUGCGUAGGUGGACUAGUAAGUCAGAGGUGAA
This 590-nucleotide ribosomal RNA is filed under the name uncultured Bacteroidota bacterium. RNAcentral's name for it is "bacterial SSU rRNA". It matches the Rfam family "Bacterial small subunit ribosomal RNA", at positions 8 to 598 of the family's 1533-position model. The record is from RNAcentral. Lineage: Bacteria; Pseudomonadati; Bacteroidota.